Molecule: long non-coding RNA, 1718 nt
Filed under: Sorghum bicolor (sorghum)
Lineage: Eukaryota; Viridiplantae; Streptophyta; Magnoliopsida; Poales; Poaceae
Description: long non-coding RNA (SBIC_LNC012203)
Source: RNAcentral
CCAACAAGAAGAUCAAGGAAUUAGAGCGCCGUUAAGUUAUCUAGAUUAGACCUUGAGGCAAUGCAUCUUAGUCAUUUAUCUUUAAAUUCGGUUUAGGUUUACUAUUAUCAUCAGUUUACUAUUAUUAUCAGUUUGCUAUCAGUUUGUUAUCAGUCUUUUGUACUAAAUGCCUCAAGAUCAAUAAAGAGUAUUACUAUUAUUAUUAUGUCUUGUGUGUCUCUACUUUAUUUUUGUGCAAGAAAGCAGAAAACAAGUAUGGGGGAGAUCCCUCGACAUGCCAACCACACUCCGACUACACCACUCCACCACUCAGGUACACACUCUGCACACUUUACUUUACACAUAUAUUUAUUUUGGAUUAUGCAGAUUACUGUUUCCGACAUGAUAAAAUAAAAAGAUUAAAAUAUUUCUAAUCAUGAUUAAUCUCAAUCUGUGAUAUUUCCUGAAAACUUGCAAUUAGUAUAAAAAUCAUUUUAAAAAAAACCUGUGUUACUUAAGUCAAUAUGGAAUAUGUGAUGGUAGAGUAUGAGUUUCUUAUUCUUGAUAUCAUGGUUGCUUGGAGAAUUUAUUUCAAAAUAUUCAAAUUUCUAGCUACCAUCCUCAGUGUUUUAUAUGCCUGAUAAAAAUAAAAAUAUUAAUGAUGAUUAUAAAGCUAUCUACUCCGUGUUGAGUUUGUUCAAAAUGAGUUAGACCCUUGUUGAGAGAUUUAUCAUGCUCCCAAGAUCAAGACAUUAUUUCAGUAAGAUUCACUCUUCCGAAGUAUUAUUGCAUUAGAGGCAUGGUCUAUGCAAAAAUAGAGAUAUUUCGAGGAAAUAAAAAGGAGCAAGUGCUCGACAACCUCGCAGAAAAAAAUGGACAAGUGUCCGGCAGUAGAAUUAGGGGUACCUCGGUAUCCACUUAAAAAAAAAGAGAGAAAAAAAAAUGAUAGCCCAUGGUCCCUCUAAUAAGCAAUAUGCCAGCAAGAGUUGACAGUUUUUAAUUUCUAAAGUCUUUGAUCUAAGAGUAUGACAUUCCCCUCCUCGGAUCCCGUUUUGAUCAGGCAAUAAAUGCAAAGUAAGAAUGCUUGAGAAUUUUUGCAAAUUAAAACAGCCUCAGUGAGAUAUAUAAAAGAUAAUGAGUGAUCUGAGAGAACCUAUGAGGAUCAAAAGGUAUGCUAACUUUCUUUUAAAAAUAUACAAAAACUCCAAGUGACAGGAUUGAGAAGAAAGGAUCUUUACUCUUAAUCAUAUACUUCCCUGACUAAGAUACACAGUGGAAUUUUAACACCCUGCAAUUAUAAAGAGAAUGUUUUAAAUGUUUAUCCCAGAUAUUAUUCUUAACCAUCCUUUUCUCGAGGACGAGUAAAAGCCUAAGUAUGGGGGUAUUUGUUGACGGUUCUUAAGUAUCAAUUUUAAUUAUCAAAUAAACAAGAGAAAGGACCAAUAUGCAACCAUCACCUAGAAUUAGGGUUUGAUCUGACAGAAUUCCACGAGUUUUGUUGUUUAUCUAUUUCUGCAGGGGGUUAUCAGGAAAUAAGGAAGAAAGGCCCACAUGUCAGGAUUACAUAGAGAUAUCAACGCACCGCGCAAUUUUACAUCAUCUAGAAGACUCCAGAAGCCACGAGACCGAAGCGGAGGCGAAGCUGGGCCAGGCCCAGGGCGCCCGCCCUGGAAGCCUGGGCGCCCGCCCCCCUGCUGGAGCCAAUUCAGGACUCCUUCGCUCGGGAUAUUCCACCGACC